ACUCGAUUUGUGUGGCCCACUCUGUCCAGGUGUCUCAGCUCCCCGAAGAAGCCAUAGACAAACCUGAAACUGUUAUUCAGGAGACAACUAAAGUGACACAGGGAGAAAAGCAGGCAACCAGGCAACCUCACGCAUGAGCCAAGAUACAAAAUCAUUUUUAUGGUCAUGUUAUUGGUCAGAAGAUAAGUGAAUGGGUAAAGAACUUUCAGAAGAGAAAAUAAAACAAAGCACAAGAAAUAGUGGGAUUAGAAAAAUCUCUACGCCUACAAAGGUUACUCUUCCUGGAAGUGAGAAAAGAAGAUACAAAAGAUUCCAACAAGAAGCUUCCAGUAAAUGAAACAAGAACAUAUUUCCCAGAAAACUGGAUAAAACUGCAUUACCGAAUACCCUGGACUAGAGAAAGCUUAGAUGUUCCUCGUGGCAUCUCUCACUUGUUCUGGAAGUAUUAUCUUUAGUUAGGGGUAUUUCCUUAACUAAUAAAGCCUAGCAUUGCUGUU
This is a long non-coding RNA of Homo sapiens (human), 497 nucleotides long. RefSeq annotates it as IQSEC3 antisense RNA 2. The record is from RefSeq and is marked validated. The transcript has 2 exons. Lineage: Eukaryota; Metazoa; Chordata; Mammalia; Primates; Hominidae.